UACGUAGGGGGCAAGCGUUGUCCGGAUUUAUUGGGCGUAAAGCGCACGCAGGCGGUUUGGCAAGUUUGGAGUGACAGUGCCUGGCUCAACCAGGCAAGGCCUCUGAAAACUGCUGGACUUGAGGACCAGAGAGGGACAUAGAAUUCCGGGUGGAGUGGUGAAAUGCGUAGAUAUCCGGAGGAAUACCAAAGGCGAAGGCAGUGUCCUGGCUGGUAACUGACGCUAAGGUGCGAAAGCUAGGGGAGCGAACAGG
RNAcentral lists this ribosomal RNA (253 nucleotides) under uncultured bacterium. RNAcentral's name for it is "partial 16S ribosomal RNA". It matches the Rfam family "Bacterial small subunit ribosomal RNA", at positions 524 to 776 of the family's 1533-position model. The record is from RNAcentral.